RNAcentral lists this unclassified non-coding RNA (332 nucleotides) under soil metagenome. RNAcentral's name for it is "partial contains 5.8S ribosomal RNA, internal transcribed spacer 2, and large subunit ribosomal RNA". The stretch from base 1 to 120 matches the Rfam family "5.8S ribosomal RNA", at positions 35 to 154 of the family's 154-position model. The record is from RNAcentral.
GAUGAAGAACGUAGCGAAAUGCGAUAAGUAAUGUGAAUUGCAGAAUUCAGUGAAUCAUCGAAUCUUUGAACGCACAUUGCGCCCGCCAGUAUUCUGGCGGGCAUGCCUGUCCGAGCGUCAUUUCAACCAUCAAGCCCCGGGCUUGUGUUGGGGACCUGCGUCCGACGCAGGCCCUGAAAACCAGUGGCGGGCUCGCUGUCCACACCGAGCGUAGUAACUAACCUCGCUAUGGAGUGGCGCGGGCGCCUGCCGUAAAACCUCCAAUUUCACAAGGUUGACCUCGGAUCAGGUAGGAAUACCCGCUGAACUUAAGCAUAUCAAUAAGCGGAGGA